Molecule: Y RNA, 110 nt
Filed under: Propithecus coquereli (Coquerel's sifaka)
Lineage: Eukaryota; Metazoa; Chordata; Mammalia; Primates; Indriidae
Description: Y RNA (ENSPCOG00000002638.1)
Rfam family: Y RNA
About the family: Y RNAs are components of the Ro ribonucleoprotein particle (Ro RNP), in association with Ro60 and La proteins. The Y RNAs and Ro60 and La proteins are well conserved, but the function of the Ro RNP is not known. In humans the RNA component can be one of four small RNAs -- hY1, hY3, hY4 and hY5.
Source: Rfam by way of RNAcentral
GGCUGGUCCGAAGGUAGUGAGUUACCUCGAUUGUUCACAGUCACGUACAAGUUGAACUCCUUGUUCUACCACUUACCCCGCUUCUCACUACUGCACUUGACUAGUCAAAA